AAGAUUGAAGGCGAUGGAGCUCGCCAUAACCGCCGAUUCAGCGAUCCCGAUGGGAGGCUGAAGGGCUGAUGGCUCCUACCUGUCC
This 85-nucleotide non-coding RNA is filed under the name Oxynema acuminatum PCC 6304. Its description in RNAcentral is "Oscillatoria acuminata PCC 6304 Fluoride riboswitch aptamer (crcB RNA motif)". It matches the Rfam family "Fluoride riboswitch aptamer (crcB RNA motif)". The record is from Rfam by way of RNAcentral. RNAcentral also lists the same sequence under 1 other name. Lineage: Bacteria; Bacillati; Cyanobacteriota; Cyanophyceae; Oscillatoriales; Oscillatoriaceae.